This 164-nucleotide ribosomal RNA is filed under the name uncultured bacterium. Its description in RNAcentral is "partial 16S rRNA". It matches the Rfam family "Bacterial small subunit ribosomal RNA", at positions 355 to 511 of the family's 1533-position model. The record is from RNAcentral.
UAGGGAAUCUUCCACAAUGGGCGCAAGCCUGAUGGAGCAACACCGCGUGAGUGAAGAAGGGUUUCGGCUCGUAAAGCUCCGUUGUUAGAGAAGAACGUGCGUGAGAGCAACUGUUCACGCAGUGACGGUAUCUAACCAGAAAGUCACGGCUAACUACGUGCCAG